RNAcentral lists this long non-coding RNA (771 nucleotides) under Manihot esculenta (cassava). RNAcentral describes it as "long non-coding RNA (MESC_LNC006343)". The record is from RNAcentral. Lineage: Eukaryota; Viridiplantae; Streptophyta; Magnoliopsida; Malpighiales; Euphorbiaceae.
AUACGAACCCAAAUUCCUGAAUUCCUAGUAUUCUGAUUUAAUUCAAGAAUUUGGGUUCUUCAAGGCUGGGCAACAGAGAACAAGAGCCAAAUCUCCGAAAUUCCUCGCUGUAGAGAAAAAUCAAGGAAAUGGGUCAAGUACGUUCCUUCCAAAUCCUCGUUUCAGGAUUUGGGAGCAGAGCUCUGGGGUUUGGGUGGCAUAAGGAGCUAAUCCUGAAAACGGAGAUGUUUGUCAAUUUUGUUUUUCACGAGAAAAAUCAAGGAAAAGAAUGAAAUGGGUUGGUCCCCAAAAUGAUUUAGACGGGACACAAAAACAAAGGAAUCUCGAAUUUUCAUUCAGAGAUGCAGAGGAUCCUCGAUUUCCAUUACAGAUUCUGCAAAAAAGGGCAAGUAAAAAACGAGUGGAAAAAGAUAUUGGGUAAAUGCCAUUAAUGAGAGAAGAUGUCGUCUGCGAAUUCACAUUGAUGUCUGAUUCAUCCCUCUUUCUGAGAAACGCAUAUGAGAAACAAACAGAGAAAGAGAAAAUGAAUGAAGAGAGAAUCAGCGCAUGCGCGGUUGAAUGGGAGCAGAGGCUAAUUUUGGGGGUGAUUGGUUGCCUAGAAAGAGAAUCUAAAAGGAGAGCUGUUAGGUGUUAACUACGUAGGAAGAGGAAGAGGAAGAGGAAGAGGAAAACAGAGAGAAAAUCUUUUGUGGGAUCGUGACCUGUCAAACAGAGACACACCCUGUAAGAUCAUGUGGGCCCAAAUGUUUGGGUAAUAACAUGGGAUUGGAC